GCUAGCGGGAGGCUUAACACAUGCAAGUCGCGGGGUAACAUGGUCUUCGGACUGAUGACGACCGGCGCACGGGUGCGUAACGCGUAUGCAACCUGCCUUAUACAGGAGGAUAGCCCAUGGAAACGUGGAUUAAUACUCCAUAGUAUUAUUUUACUGCAUGGUAAAAUACUUAAAACUACGGUGGUAUAAGAUGGGCAUGCGUCUGAUUAGCUAGUUGGUGGGGUAACGGCCCACCAAGGCGACGAUCAGUAGGGGUUCUGAGAGGAUUAUCCCCCACACUGGGACUGAGACACGGCCCAGACUCCUACGGGAGGCAGCAGUGAGGAAUAUUGGUCAAUGGGCGCGAGCCUGAACCAGCCAUCCCGCGUGCAGGAUGACGGCCCUAUGGGUUGUAAACUGCUUUUCUAUGCCAAGAAACCCACCUACGCGUAGGUGGUUGCCGGUAGCAUAGGAAUAAGCAUCGGCUAACUCCGUGCCAGCAGCCGCGGUAAUACGGAGGAUGCAAGCGUUAUCCGGAUUUAUUGGGUUUAAAGGGUGCGCAGGCGGGUUUGUAAGUCA
This 558-nucleotide ribosomal RNA is filed under the name uncultured Bacteroidota bacterium. RNAcentral describes it as "bacterial SSU rRNA". It matches the Rfam family "Bacterial small subunit ribosomal RNA", at positions 35 to 590 of the family's 1533-position model. Lineage: Bacteria; Pseudomonadati; Bacteroidota. The record is from RNAcentral.